Molecule: ribosomal RNA, 253 nt
Filed under: uncultured prokaryote
Description: partial 16S ribosomal RNA
Rfam family: Bacterial small subunit ribosomal RNA
Source: RNAcentral
GACAGAGGGGGCAAGCGUUGCUCGGAAUCACUGGGCGUAAAGGGCGCGUAGGCGGGAUGGCAAGUCGGUCGUGAAAUCCUUCGGCUCAACCGAAGAACGUCGGCCGAUACUGCCGUUCUUGAGGGAUGCAGAGGAGAUUGGAAUUCCCGGUGUAGCGGUGAAAUGUGUAGAGAUCGGGAGGAACACCGGUGGCGAAGGCGGCUCACUGGCUCGUAUCUGGCGCUCAGGCGCGACAGCGUGGGGAUCAAACAGG